CCGGAUUAGAUACCCUGGUAGCCCUCGCCGUAAACGAUGAGUGCUAAGUGUUAGAGGGUUUCCGCCCUUUAGUGCUGCAGCUAACGCAUUAAGCACUCCGCCUGGGGAGUACGGUCGCAAGACUGAAACUCAAAGGAAUUGACGGGGGCCCGCACAAGCGGUGGAGCAUGUGGUUUAAUUCGAAGCAACGCGAAGAACCUUACCAGGUCUUGACAUCCUCUGACAACUCUAGAGAUAGAGCGUUCCCCUUCGGGGGACAGAGUGACAGGUGGUGCAUGGUUGUCGUCAGCUCGUGUCGUGAGAUGUUGGGUUAAGUCCCGCAACGAGCGCAACCCUUGAUCUUAGUUGCCAGCAUUUAGUUGGGCACUCUAAGGUGACUGCCGGUGACAAACCGGAGGAAGGUGGGGAUGACGUCAAAUCAUCAUGCCCCUUAUGACCUGGGCUACACACGUGCUACAAUGGAUGGUACAAAGGGCUGCAAGACCGCGAGGUCAAGCCAAUCCCAUAAAACCAUUCUCAGUUCGGAUUGUAGGCUGCAACUCGCCUACAUGAAGCUGGAAUCGCUAGUAAUCGCGGAUCAGCAUGCCGCGGUGAAUACGU
RNAcentral lists this ribosomal RNA (600 nucleotides) under uncultured bacterium. Its description in RNAcentral is "bacterial SSU rRNA". It matches the Rfam family "Bacterial small subunit ribosomal RNA", at positions 773 to 1371 of the family's 1533-position model. The record is from RNAcentral.